GACGAACCGAGCGAACGUUGUUCGGAAUCACUGGGCUUAAAGGGCGCGUAGGCGGGUGCUCAAGUCUGUGGUGAAAUCCUCCGGCUCAACCGGAGAACUGCCAUGGAUACUGGGUGUCUCGAGGGUGGUAGGGGUAUGCGGAACUAUCGGUGGAGCGGUGAAAUGCGUUGAUAUCGAUAGGAACUCCGGUGGCGAAGGCGGCAUACUGGACCACUUCUGACGCUGAGGCGCGAAAGCCAGGGGGGCAAACGGG
This 253-nucleotide ribosomal RNA is filed under the name uncultured bacterium. Its description in RNAcentral is "partial 16S ribosomal RNA". It matches the Rfam family "Bacterial small subunit ribosomal RNA", at positions 524 to 776 of the family's 1533-position model. The record is from RNAcentral.